RNAcentral lists this unclassified non-coding RNA (390 nucleotides) under soil metagenome. RNAcentral's name for it is "partial contains 5.8S ribosomal RNA, internal transcribed spacer 2, and large subunit ribosomal RNA". The stretch from base 1 to 122 matches the Rfam family "5.8S ribosomal RNA", at positions 35 to 154 of the family's 154-position model. The record is from RNAcentral.
GAUGAAGAACGCAGCGAAAUGCGAUACUUGGUGUGAAUUGCAGAAUCCCGCGAAUCAUCGAGUUUUUGAACGCAAGUUGCGCCCGAAGCCAUUCGGCCGAGGGCACGUCUGCCUGGGUGUCACGCAUCGUUGCCCCCCCAAACUCCGGUUCGGGCGGGGCGGAAGUUGGCCUCCCGUGCGUGCCUGCGCGCGCGGUUAGCCCAAAAGCGAGUCCUCGGCGACGAGCGCCACGACAAUCGGUGGUUUUUUUACCCACGUUCCUCGUCGUGCGUGUCCCGUCGCCCGAACGCGCUCUUGUGACCCUCACGCGUCGCCUCGGCGGCGCUCCCAACGCGACCCCAGGUCAGGCGGGACUACCCGCUGAGUUUAAGCAUAUCAAUAAGCGGAGGA